RNAcentral lists this ribosomal RNA (505 nucleotides) under uncultured bacterium. Its description in RNAcentral is "partial 16S ribosomal RNA". It matches the Rfam family "Bacterial small subunit ribosomal RNA", at positions 28 to 507 of the family's 1533-position model. The record is from RNAcentral.
GACGAACGCUGGCGGCGUGCUUAACACAUGCAAGUCGAACGGUGAAGCGCUUGCCUUUUUGGUGGGUGUGGAUGAGUGGCGAACGGGUGAGUAACACGUGAGUAACCUGCCCUCUUCUUCUGGAUAACCUCAUGAAAGUGGGGCUAAUACGGGGUAUUCCGGGUCUGUCGCAUGGCGGGUUUGGGAAAGAUUGCGCCUUUGGGUGUUUUCGGUGGGGGAUGGGCUCGCGGCCUAUCAGCUUGUUGGUGGGGUGAUGGCCUACCAAGGCGGUGACGGGUAGCCGGCCUGAGAGGGUGGACGGCCACACUGGGACUGAGACACGGCCCAGACUCCUGCGGGAGGCAGCGGUGGGGAAUAUUGCACAAUGGGCGCAAGCCUGAUGCAGCGACGCCGCGUGAGGGAUGGAGGCCUUCGGGUUGUGAACCUCUUUCGCCAGUGAAGCAGGCCUGCCUCGUUUGUGGGUGGGUUGACGGUAGCUGGAUAAGAAGCGCCGGCUAACUACGUG